UGGGCUUUCCCCACUUAGA
RNAcentral lists this unclassified non-coding RNA (19 nucleotides) under Mus musculus (house mouse). RNAcentral describes it as "oocyte_clustered_small_RNA11773". Lineage: Eukaryota; Metazoa; Chordata; Mammalia; Rodentia; Muridae. The record is from RNAcentral.